GGUUAAGCGACUAAGCGUACACGGUGGAUGCCCUGGCAGUCAGAGGCGAUGAAGGGCGUGCUAAUCUGCGAUAAGCGCCGGUAAGGUGAUAUGAACCGUUAUAACCGGCGAUACCCGAAUGGGGAAACCCAGUGUGACUCGUCACACUAUCAUUAACUGAAUCCAUAGGUUAAUGAGGCGAACCGGGGGAACUGAAACAUCUAAGUACCCCGAGGAAAAGAAAUCAACCGAGAUUCCCCCAGUAGCGGCGAGCGAACGGGGAGGAGCCCAGAGCCUGAAUCAGCAUGUGUGUUAGUGGAAGCGUCUGGAAAGGCGCGCGAUACAGGGUGACAGCCCCGUACACAAAAGCGCAUGUGCUGUGAGCUCGAUGAGUAGGGCGGGACACGUGGUAUCCUGUCUGAAUAUGGGGGGACCAUCCUCCAAGGCUAAAUACUCCUGACUGACCGAUAGUGAACCAGUACCGUGAGGGAAAGGCGAAAAGAACCCCGGCGAGGGGAGUGAAAAAGAACCUGAAACCGUGUACGUACAAGCAGUGGGAGCCCCACCACUAAGCCAGUGGUGAACUCCACAUACGCAUCCUUUGCUGAGGAUACGGUUAACGGAGCGAAAGCGACGUUCAACCGCAAAAGAAGCAGAGGGGGCUUAGUGGUGGGGUGACUGCGUACCUUUUGUAUAAUGGGUCAGCGACUUAUAUUCUGUAGCAAGGUUAACCGAAUAGGGGAGCCGGAGGGAAACCGAGUCUUAAUUGGGCGUUAAGUUGCAGGGUAUAGACCCGAAACCCGGUGAUCUAGCCAUGGGCAGGUUGAAGGUUGGGUAACACUAACUGGAGGACCGAACCGACUAAUGUUGAAAAAUUAGCGGAUGACCUGUGGCUGGGGGUGAAAGGCCAAUCAAACCGGGAGAUAGCUGGUUCUCCCCGAAAGCUAUUUAGGUAGCGCCUCGUGAAUUCAUCUCCGGGGGUAGAGCACUGUUUCGGCUAGGGGGCCAUCCCGGCUUACCAACCCGAUGCAAACUGCGAAUACCGGAGAAUGUUAUCACGGGAGACACACGGCGGGUGCUAACGUCCGUCGUGAAGAGGGAAACAACCCAGACCGCCAGCUAAGGUCCCAAAGUCAUGGUUAAGUGGGAAACGAUGUGGGAAGGCCCAGACAGCCAGGAUGUUGGCUUAGAAGCAGCCAUCAUUUAAAGAAAGCGUAAUAGCUCACUGGUCGAGUCGGCCUGCGCGGAAGAUGUAACGGGGCUAAACCAUGCACCGAAGCUGCGGCAGCGACGCUGAUGCGUUGUUGGGUAGGGGAGCGUUCUGUAAGCCUGCGAAGGUGGCCUGUGAGGGUUGCUGGAGGUAUCAGAAGUGCGAAUGCUGACAUAAGUAACGAUAAAGCGGGUGAAAAGCCCGCUCGCCGGAAGACCAAGGGUUCCUGUCCAACGUUAAUCGGGGCAGGGUGAGUCGACCCCUAAGGCGAGGCCGAAAGGCGUAGUCGAUGGGAAACGGGUUAAUAUUCCCGUACUUGGUGUUACUGCGAAGGGGGGACGGAGAAGGCUAUGUUGGCCGGGCGACGGUUGUCCCGGUUUAAGCGUGUAGGUGUGUGUUCCAGGUAAAUCCGGUUCACUUUAACACUGAGGCGUGACGACGAGGCACUACGGUGCUGAAGCAACAAAUGCCCUGCUUCCAGGAAAAGCCUCUAAGCAUCAGGUAACACGAAAUCGUACCCCAAACCGACACAGGUGGUCAGGUAGAG
This 1736-nucleotide ribosomal RNA is filed under the name Salmonella enterica. RNAcentral's name for it is "partial 23S ribosomal RNA". It matches the Rfam family "Bacterial large subunit ribosomal RNA", at positions 1 to 1676 of the family's 2925-position model. The record is from RNAcentral. Lineage: Bacteria; Pseudomonadati; Pseudomonadota; Gammaproteobacteria; Enterobacterales; Enterobacteriaceae.